RNAcentral lists this ribosomal RNA (252 nucleotides) under uncultured Bacteroidales bacterium. Its description in RNAcentral is "partial 16S ribosomal RNA". It matches the Rfam family "Bacterial small subunit ribosomal RNA", at positions 524 to 776 of the family's 1533-position model. Lineage: Bacteria; Pseudomonadati; Bacteroidota; Bacteroidia; Bacteroidales. The record is from RNAcentral.
UACGGAGGAUGCGAGCGUUAUCCGGAUUUAUUGGGUUUAAAGGGUGCGUAGGCGGCGAGUUAAGUCAGCGGUCAAAGCCCGGGGCUCAACCCCGGCCCGCCGUUGAAACUGGCAGUCUCGAGUUGGAGAGAAGUAUGCGGAAUGCGCGGUGUAGCGGUGAAAUGCAUAGAUAUCGCGCAGAACUCCGAUUGCGAAGGCAGCAUACCGGCGCCCAACUGACGCUGAAGCACGAAAGCGUGGGGAGCAAAUAGG